CGGGCGCUGCGUGGCGCGUUAGGUUGCUUCAUCCCUCGGGCCAAUAGUUUCCUGUUGGGAACCGUCCCUGCCGGGGCCGUGGUUUCGGUAUAUGGUGUCCACCUGCAUUGCAGGCUCAAGAGGAUGUCCAUGACCCAACGGCCAGCGCGGCCCCGCC
Molecule: non-coding RNA, 157 nt
Filed under: Rhodospirillaceae bacterium
Lineage: Bacteria; Pseudomonadati; Pseudomonadota; Alphaproteobacteria; Rhodospirillales; Rhodospirillaceae
Also listed under: 1 other name
Description: 6S RNA
Rfam family: 6S / SsrS RNA
About the family: E. coli 6S RNA was the first non coding RNA to be sequenced, but its function was unknown until recently. It consists of 184 nucleotides that fold into an extended hairpin structure with a large single-stranded internal bulge.
Source: RNAcentral